CAAUCAAAUCUAGAAUAUUUUCAUUACUCCCAAAAAGAAAUCCCACACUCCUUAGUCAUCAUCCUCUAAUUUCCCUAUUAUAGGUGGGAAUUGAACAAUGAGAACACAUGGACACAGGAAGGGGAACAUCACACACUGGGGACUGUUGUGGGUGGGGGGAGGGGGGAGGGAUAGCAUUAGGAAUCUCUUUGAGGUGCCUGAGCCGUAAAUACAUCAUAAACCCAGUCUGUGUUUACCAAUGAUUAAAAAAAGGAUAUUGGUUGGUUUGAAGGUUUAUAAGAUGCAUAUAUCCAUGGAUAGAGGACAAUUCUUUUUGAUUCUUGAUUGCAUAAUUUAUUGUAGAACAUCUGGUAUCCCUGGCCUCCAUCCAUUAAAUGCUUCUCCACCUGAUUACUAUGAAAAUCCAGAAAAAAAAUCCACAAAUUUUCAAAAUAGCAACCAGGAUAAAGUAGUAGCUUCUUUGAGACUAGGACAGCCAUGGUUUGGACACCUUUCAUUAAUUAGCUGCAGAAAGCUGCUAAAGCCAAGUGACAACUUAAACAAUAUGAACUUUCUGAAUCAUUAAAAAUCAACUGCAGCCAAAACACCAUGGGAGCCCUAGUCCCUAACUGAUCCUAGAAGGCCCUUUGUUGAGGAAACUGACCCAGAUGCUAUAGCUGAGAUUCAAGAUAGCUGGAACGGGGCCUCGCAAAUAAAAGACUCAUGCUUGACAUGAGCAAACGAGGGUUUCGUGUCCAUUCAUGCAACUUUAGAAUCUAGGCUACCUUGAAAGUCACCUAUCUGCCUGGUUAGGUGUUUGAGUGUUUGUGUUAGAGGUAAAAACAGGUGAUAGCCCAGCUUCCUUGGGUUUAAUUUGGUGAUCUUGUUUCACACUCAACCCAACCACAGGAAGUGGUUUAUUACCAACAAGAAUGUAAAGUUUUCAUGAUUUAAUAAUUUCAUUAUCACCAAAUGCUACUUUUGUCAGUGAAAGCACCAAUAGGAGGUCCAAUAAAUAGUUAGUGCCUGAAGGAAUUGUGGAG
Molecule: long non-coding RNA, 1022 nt
Filed under: Pan troglodytes (chimpanzee)
Lineage: Eukaryota; Metazoa; Chordata; Mammalia; Primates; Hominidae
Description: long non-coding RNA NONPTRT011791
Source: RNAcentral